RNAcentral lists this ribosomal RNA (497 nucleotides) under uncultured bacterium. RNAcentral's name for it is "partial 16S ribosomal RNA". It matches the Rfam family "Bacterial small subunit ribosomal RNA", at positions 28 to 507 of the family's 1533-position model. The record is from RNAcentral.
GAUGAACGCUGGCGGCGUGCCUAAUACAUGCAAGUCGAGCGAACGGACGAGAAGCUUGCUUCUCUGAUGUUAGCGGCGGACGGGUGAGUAACACGUGGAUAACCUACCUAUAAGACUGGGAUAACUUCGGGAAACCGGAGCUAAUACCGGAUGAUAUUUUGAACCGCAUGGUUCAAAAGUGAAAGACGGUCUUGCUGUCACUUAUAGAUGGAUCCGCGCUGCAUUAGCUAGUUGGUAAGGUAACGGCUUACCAAGGCAACGAUGCAUAGCCGACCUGAGAGGGUGAUAGGCAACACUGGAACUGAGACACGGUCAAGACUCCUAAGGGAGGCAGCAGUAGGGAAUCUUCAGCAAUGGGCGAAAGCCUGACGGAGCAACGCCGCGUGAGUGAUGAAGGUCUUCGGAUCGUAAAAAUCUGUUAUUAGGGAAGAACAUAUGUGUAAGUAACUGUGCACAUCUUGACGGUACCUAAUCAGAAAGCCACGGCUAACUACGUG